Gallus gallus (chicken) is the source of this 14231-nucleotide long non-coding RNA. RefSeq lists it as uncharacterized. The transcript has 3 exons. NCBI's taxonomy places the organism in Eukaryota, Metazoa, Chordata, Aves, Galliformes, Phasianidae. The record is from RefSeq and is a predicted model, not a curated record.
GGCGCGGCCCCGGUGCCGCGUACCGCCGCGUCAGCGCCCCGCUCUUCCCUCCGCACGGCCGUCUCUGGGCUGCGCUGCGGCGCCUCUUCGAGGCCGGCGGCCUCUCGGGGCGGAGGGUCAAGGCCCCGCGGCUUCCCCUGGGCUGCUCGCGGGGCCUCCCUCCCCUGUGACACGCUGUGCUCGGCUGCGUUCUCUACGCCUGAAGGAAGGCCCAGACUCGGCUUCCUGCCGCGCCAAGACCUCCUCGGCGGGGCGCCAGCCUCGGCGCCCGUGCCUGGUCCUGUCCUCCCGGGGGCCCGGCUGCCUUCCGCAGCGAGGAGCGGGCUGGAGGACCUGCCGUGCCCGCUGGGGCCUGCCGCGGGGCCGCCUGGCUCCGCUGCUCUGUCAGCUUGCGAAGGGAUUUUAGUUCUACGCUUACGGAUCGAUCCAGCUCACGCCAUUUUUUUCUGUUUUUUUUCCUAAAUAUGAACUUACAUUUCGCCUUGCAGUACGUGCUUUGCGAGUGGCGGGGAUGAGUGGGUGUUAAGUGUAGCAGUAACGGUCCUUGGGAGCACAAGUUGUGACUUGCCCUUAUCUUGUAGUGAGUUGGAGAUACUGCAGCUGUAGUGUUUGGAUGGUGGCAGUUCUCAGGGCAGGAAGUCCCCCGUGACGUGUGCUGUGCUAAGGUGUGCAGUUACUUUGCACAGUGUGAGAAAAUGAAGCAAGCUGCGGCAUGCCUGAAAUGAAGGACUAAAAGUGUGAAGGAAACUUAAAACGAUUUCCAUCUCUGCAUGCUCACGUGUGGUUUUCUAAGGAAUUUAAGCCUAUUAAUAUAAGUACAGUAAAUAAGAUUGUUGUAUGUCAUUCCUACCUACAUCAUAGACAUUUCCUGUAAUUAGACAAACUACACACUGAACAAAAAGGUAGCAACAGGCAUGCUCUGUUAAAACUUGCCAAACGCAGACAUUUUUAUUGCUUGGUGUUGUAAUAACGCCCCCAGAAAGGUUUUAUCUUUAAUACUUCUUUUUCCUCUUUACCAGAAACAAUAGUUCCCUUGUCCCUCUUUCUGUUUCACUAAGACAACUCAGUGUCUUCCUGUACUGUGCCUCUUAACUGCCACUUGUUCCAGCCCUAGUGAGGUUUAGAAGCGUCUCCUUCAUGUAUUCUUGUCCUUCAGAGGUGAACGAGACUUCUUAAAGGCUUAAAGUUAAGGACAUGAGACGCGGGGACAACUGAGUCUGCAGUCUUUAAAUUUAGAAGCUUGAUCUUCUUUCACUUUCACUGGUACAGAAGUGGCAGCCGAAUUAGGCCAAACUUGUGAGAACCGCAUCUGUUACAUGACCUUACCACUCCUGCUGCAUGAUAGUUUGCUUUUUGUUGUGAGGAAGAUGGGUUUCAAUUAAAGCAGUGUGGUGAAUUUCGCCUGAAGACCGAAGUCAAAUGGUAUUUUUCAGUUGUAAUUACUGAGAACUAAAAUCAAACAGAUACUUCGCUCUUGUUGCAGGCCACACUUCCUGCUUUGUGGUAGAUAUAUGGUUAUCCAUGCAGAAGGUGAAGUUAUCAAAUUAGAGACUAACCGUGGAGCAAAGUCAAAAAUACCAUACUGUGCAUUCAGAGAACAGAAAUGAUGUGUUUAAAAUACUUUUUAAUGGGAGUAUGGUGCUUAAAAAACUGGCAAUAGCUUUUAGUGUUAUGCAUCUUCAUUCCUAAAUGUCUAAAAUACUUGCAUGACCUGUUGCAUUGAUUUCCACAUGUGAUUAUAUAUGUACAUAUAUAUAUAAUACUAAAGAAGGUGCAUUGCAGCUUUAGGUAUGGAUUAGGAUUUUUUUUCAUUGUGAUUCAUUUGUAAUAUAUAAGAAUUUGUUAACAAUUUGUCCUUCUCAUAAUGAGAUUUCUCAUCCCUUUGAAUUAAACCUGAAAAAGAAAAGAAUAACUGCUCAGUACGUAAUUUCAGCUCCGUAGAUUAUACACUUUUUAUAUAUGUUCGAGGUCUGAUUUACACUUGCAGUGUCAUGUACUGAAUGGACAUUCCAAAUAUUUUCAGCAGUUGUCAGAGGAUCCUCCAUUUGGAUUUACUGCAGAGAGCACUGCCUGUCAGCUGCUGUUUCAAACUCCCUCUGUGUGCAGCACCUGUAUAGACUAGAACUGCCACUUCAGAAAUUACUGCUCUCUGGUACUUAAUAUGAGGAAAAUCAUAGCAAAUAAGACUACAGUUAGCUGGUAGGAAGGAAAUAAUAAUUGCCUAAGUCAUUUUUAUGGAAUUAUUUGUUUUCAUAGUAAUUUUCUUAUGAACAAAGUUCAAAAAAUAAGAUUUCCAGCUCAUUUGGUUGGUGCUAGGCCAAAGCAUGUUGGGUGAGAAGGAUUUUUACAUAGUCAGACAUGGAACAGAAAUAAGGCCAUAUACUGAAGUGAGAAGUAAUGGAGCUGAUGUGUCAUAACUUCUUCGAAGAUUACAAUGAAAUUUGUGUGGAACCUGCAAAAACAGCUACUGUUCACCAUAUGUGUACAAUGUAUGUAUUACUCAUUCUGUUAAAAAAUAACCUCAAUUCUAAUACGAGCUGACACACACAUGUAUGACCUUGCCCAAGACCCUGAGUCACUUUGUGUCUCUGCUUCCUUGUUUAUUUAAAGCAACAAAAACAAAACAAAACAGAAAAAACCAACAACAAAAAAACACACCCGGAUCGUAAUGCUGGCUGCAGUCAGAAAUAUCUUAACAUGGAACACUGAGUUGCUUAGAUAUGCUACUAUACUCAGUCUUAAAUACUGUAAAAGAAAAUCCCCCAGUGUUUGAGCAGACCACGUGUAAAUGAGUGAGGAUGCUUUUGUGAAAUGGUCACAAGGUCACAGGGAGUCAACCUUUGUAGAGCAUGGUAGUGACCAUCGGUUUUGUUGUAAACUUACCUGAAAAUCCUGAAAAUUAAACCUUCUCUUAAAAAAAGAAAUUGUCAGUGCAGUUGCUAGCAUAAUAUUCUAUUGUGGACCCACAGACUGAAAAGAAGGAUGUCAUGGAAGGGUUGCAAAGGUCAGGUAUUGGAGAAUUUCUCAUGCAGAAAGAUUCUGACGUGUGUUAUGAAGAACGGCCAAUUUGAGGCAGUUACUUUGUAAGAAGACACGUUCGGUAUUCUCAGAAUGUUUUGGUUCUGUUUGAAAAGAAGUCACAUUGCUAGAAAAAUAUCAGGAUGGAAAGAUAUUAUCUUUAUUUUACUUGAAGCUCAAAAAAAUAAAUUUGUUACUGCUUUUUUUUUUUUAAUUCAAGCUGUUUUCUAUAAAGAGUUAACUGGUGGCAUAAGGAAAAGUCUGUUGUAAGUAAUGUUGAUGUCACAGUGUGGUAGUAAGGAUUGUAAACUUGGGCUGGGAAUGAUUAGUGUUUUGUUAUAGAAAAUAUAAAGCUCUUGCCAAAAUCAAAGUGAAGUACACCUACAAUUAAAACAAAACACGACAUCUCAGAUUCCUGCAUAUUUUUAAUUGAUACGGAAGGUAGAGCCUGGUAUAAUUUAUGUUUUUGUUAGCCUUGCUGCCCAACUUUGUGCACAUGCCAAGUUGUCAUUUCCAGAAAUAUCACUCUUCUGGGGUAAAUGGAUCCACGUAACAUAAACAGACCCUGAACACCUCCGCAAAUGUAAUUGAGUAGUUUAUGCUAAAGGCCAGCGUUGAGUCCAGCCAAAUAAAACAGGAUAUUUGCAGAUUAUUUAUCCUUUUGCUUUAACCAUUUUUCUCUGCCGCUCCCACAACAAUGUAGUAGGAAACACUGAAUGGUCCUACUACUCCUGAGACAAAAGGUGAAUAAUUCCAUACUACGCAUUUUGUUUUCUUGAUGAAUGUUAUACUUUUAAAAAGUUAAUAAAUGUUGACUACACUUUUCAAAGCGAGGAGGCCAGAAAUUACCAAGGACAGAAACUUGUUUGCUGUUACAAGCAAGAUUUAGUUUUGUAGAAUUUGGUUACUUAACCUAAUUUACUUCUUAAGUGUAGCGUUAAAAAUAUUUUCUUCUAGAAAACUUAGGUGGUUUUUGGGGGGGAGGGAGGGUGUUUGUUUGUUUGUUUUUCAUACGUAAAAUGCAAUUGGUGAAAGCUUUUCAUUUUAAUUUUCCUAUAUUAUCAUUUUCCCUUCUUAGCUACUUCACUGCUGUACAAGUCCGGUGAGCACAAACAGUGUCAGUGUCUUGACUUUCCAAAAGCAAGGACUGAAUUUUGCAACCGUGGCGAAGAACAAUUGUAUGCCAGCUGUAAAGCAUGGUGUGUUUACUUUGUGCAGUCUUACGCAAUCUGCUGUAACAAGCACUGUGUGAGAGGUUGCCUGUUUGCUAGUUCAAAUGUUGCAAUUACACAUGUUGAUGUGGUGAGCGUGUUACUAAUGUUGACGUGAUAAAUGUAUGAGUGACACGCUGGUGUUUAUGAAAGCACACAGCUGAGUCAUUGCGCUUUUUGUCAGACUCCUCCUUGGUUUCAACUUCCAGGGAUGUUCUUAUCAUCAGAAUUGAGUGAAUGAACAUACAGAAGAACAUAGGUUUUGGAAAAUUGCAGAUACUCCAGUAUUACCUUUUCUUUUUUUGUUUGUGAAACGGUUCAAAAACAAAAAAAGCAUAGUGCUUUUUUCCUAAGUUAACUCAUUUGUGGAUAUAUUUAUUAAGUAUAAAUUCAGUGUUAUUGUUCAAGGCUAGGCAGUGAGAAGUGGGUGAACUUCGUAUCACUUAACUCCUUUUAUCUCAGCUUUCCUAUAUUGCUUACAUACAAUAGAAAGUAACCCCGUAUCACAGCCUGCCAUCACUCAUGUCCCUUGCACCUCUUUUUGCCAAAAGGAAAGGGAGGCAGAAAUUAGACAGCAGUUCUGUAUCUUGGGGUGUAACCAUACCCCAUCUACCAGUAACAUACGCAAUGCCAAUAAAUCUAAAUCCAAGACAAAUGCAAGCAAAGAUCAGCACCUCAGGUCAUAGUCUUUCUAAAAACUCUUAAUAGCACAUGCUAGGUUAUUGCAUCCAAAUCAGAAAAUUAAGAUUUGAGAUUUGUUCCUUCUAGUUUUAUUCCCUUGUUAUGUGACUAAAACAUGCAAGUAACCCUACCAAGCUUUGAUGUGACUUCCAGUAUGAAUGAAGUAUUACAGAUUAACUUCAAUGAUCUGUGCUGGGGAGAAGACGUGCAGUGAGAAUGAAGGGUCUUAAUCACCAAAUGGUUAUUUUAUUUUUUGUGGAUUAAAAGCCCACAGCUACAUGGAGUUUUAUUGGAAAGAGUGUAAUUUUUAGAGACUUAAAACCUUUCUAAUGCCUUUUACUUUUCUUACAAUUAAAUUAUGCCUCAUUCACCACUGUAAAUGUUUUGACAUGCAAAAAGGAGAGACAAGCUUGAAUUCUUAAAACCUGAAUUAAUGGAUUACUUACUAAACUGUUAAGAGCUGCAUUCUUGAUUCAGACCAGGAAAAGAUAACUUAUUAUUGUGUUGGAACAUGGCAAAGUUCAAUACUAGCACUGUGCUAUGGCACUUGGGACAGACAACAUAAAAAUUGUGUAAUUUACUAAAAAAGGAAAAAUUGCUUUCCCUUAGAAUCCUGGGGAAAAAUUAGAAAGUACUGUAGUUUUGUGAUGGUUUAUUCUUUUGGAAAUGUAAUGUGUACCCCUCAAUUAAACCUCAGAUUGGUUGAUUUACAGGAGAGCUGCCAUUCCAUACAGCUUAAAUCUUUGUCAGAAGUGAUUAAAUUAGCUAAUUUAGAAUUGUAGUAGAAAGGUGAAAAUAGGUCUCUGUAGGCCCUCAUGUUCCCCAAGGAAUGGAUUACAGGUAGUAGGCCGUGUAUCUGAUUUUCUCUUAACUCACUUUUUAAAAUAAAUACAGAUCAAAUUGUACAUGUUUUGGAAUUUGGCUUUCAAUGUAAUAUUUGGACUUAUUCACAAGUGACCAAUGUAUUAAAUAGAACUAACUAAAUAUGGGUGCAUGAUUUUGCAAAGAGAGACAAAAGAAUCUCAACUUAGGAUGACCAGCACGUUGAAUGAGGUGAUUCAGAGGGCUGGGGGACCCUUCCUGUGAGGCCAGAGGUCAGGUUGUUUGGGGUUUUGGGGAGCCUGGUUUAGUCGUAGGUGUCCCUGCUCAUGGCAGCAGAUUUGGAACAAGAAAAUCUUUAAGGACCCUUCCAACCUAUUCUGUGAUUCUAUGAACUUGAACAGGAUCCAGUUUUAUUCUUCGCUCGCUAUGGUGCUUCAUAUGAACUUCCAUGUCAGGUGCCAUUUUGUCAGUCUGCCCCUCUGCUGCCAUCUGUCACACAGCAACAGAGUGUGAUGAAAUAUUGUUGGGAAGGUUUAACCUCUACUGCCAUACCACAACAGCCAGUGGGCCAACAUAAUAAAAUAGGAGGCACUACUUUCGGAGCAGCCCUUGUGCAAGAAAAAAAUGAGAAACAUUACCUUCCCCAGGAUAUUUAAAGUAAAUCAAUACAUUUCUGUUUAGAUAGCAAUCUGAGAAAAAGCAGAUUUUGAAUGAGAAGCUUUACAUCUCAGCUGUACUUAUACCAGGACUGUAUUGGAUUGAACAGCAUCUCUGGCAAUAAGAAAAAGUGAACAUACUGCAAUGAAGGCUCAAAAACAUUACCCGUACUCACUGCCUUUCAAACUGUAAUCCAGGCCAAUUGAAGAAGAUGGUUUUGAUCUGACAGAGAGUUUUGUGGCAGAGCUGCAAGUUUGUAGAAAAAUUCAUACAUAAAGCUGUCAUCACGAGAAAACACGUAUCAAUAUAAAAUUGUUUUCCUAAGAGCUUUCACUGAUCUCAAACUCCUUAAGCAUAAUGAAGAUGAUAGGUAUACCUACCUUUUAAGGCAUGUAAGGCAUCGUUAUUGAGCUAUUUUUGAGAAGUUUCAUCGCCAGGAUGCAACUCCUUAGGAAUUCUGAGAUCCACGUGGUGAGUGAGAGAGUAGCACAGGAUAAAUUAUUCAUACUCAUUUUUCUUGCUGUACUGUAUGUUAUGCCAUUUGGCAACCAAUUAACUCACACCAGUAUGACAGGAUUUUAAUUAAUAGGUCUCAAAGUUACUCCAACUACUGCACAGGAUUUUGUAGUUCAGUUCUUGUGUACUCAAUAUCAACGUCCCCCAAAAGUGAGGCUAGAUAUAGAGCACUUGUGAUCUAAUGCCCACUCCAAGUUCUUGUGCCUAAGAUUUUUCUCAGUGACCUGUUUUCAUUGACUCUUAGUUACUUAUGGUAAGACACCAGCAUUGAUUUAUUAGACAAGCAUUUUGUACAUGCUUUUGCUAUUCUUUUUAAGUUAUAGAGUUAGGGUUUUGUUGUUGUUGAGUGCUUUUUUCCUGUAAAAUAUUAGCUCGUUAGGGUUUUGCUGUUCAUAUAAAUUUCUGUGUAAACACUUGUCACAGUGAACACAGGUAACUUACUGAAAUGAUUAAGUACUGUGUGUCCGAGCCUGCAACAAAGCAAGAAGGUUUUCUACCCAGUUUCUUCGUACAAUGCCAGCCUUAAAAACGGCAGACCAAAUUAUUUGUAAAGGAAUACAAUAAAGUCUCACCAGUUUGGGCCAACUCAAUUGCUAGAAAUAUUUGUCUGCCUAAUUUUUGCAGUAGUUUCUCAUGUAUAUAAUUAUAGCUGCUUAACUACGAUGAUUAGUCUAUGUCCCAGUCACUGCUCUGACCCUGAUGGGAGGACUGGUAGCCUGGGGCUGCUGAAUCUUGCGCUACCGAUUCCCAGGUAUUCACUAGUGGAGAAUCUAUGUCAUCAGUAGGAAUUUUUAUUAUCAAAAUGAUAGAAAGGCCUCUACUGAAGCUUAAGCCUUCCUGCAUAUGUAUGAUAAAAGAUGUAUCCACCCAGAGUUCUGUAAACAGAAAAUUCAGAGGUGUUAAAAGCAGAUCUGAGAGUAACAUAGUCCACUCUUAUAAGCUGCUUAGUAGUUUAACUCUGAAGUCCCAGAUCCCCACUUCCACAUGUUAGUGCUCUCCCAGCUAUACUGAACUAACUUAUAGUUGUGCAAAGAAAGCCAAGAGGAAUGAAGAAGUUAAUCUGCAUCUGCAGUCGAAUAGAGGAUAGAUAUAAGCCAGUUUGCAUCUCGUGGGCCGGGGAUGAUUCACCAAGACUGAGGAUAUGCCCAGAGGGAAAGAUUUGCUACCUAUGCUGGAAAGAAGGGCAGUAGAGCUAGGAAGGAACUAGCCUAUCCAGUUUAUACCAAGUCAGAGCUUCUUUCCUUAUUGGGAAACUGAGAAUAACAAAUCAAAGCCAGAAUCCAGCCCAGUCUCACAGGCAGGGCUGGUGUCUCUACCAAGUGAGACUGCCCAACUUAUAGCAUUAGUAGUAAUUCUACGGGAAAGAAAUAAGAAAUGUUUUCAAAAAACUGAUUAUGUGCUACAGAGGUCAUAUGCAAAUAUACUUGCUGGUUACCUCCUGCAGGUAGUCUCAGGAAGCCGUCCUAAGACAUCUUUAUAGGUAAAUUGUGGUCUCCAUCACAAUAUUGUACACGACCAAUAUGUGAAAGUCAAGAUGAAAUGAGUAGAUGUUUCUACAUGUAACUGGGUGCAGAAGUUAGCCCAUAAGCACGCUUGAAAGUCAGAUUUCUCAUGGCGUCAGGCAAGGAAGAUGAGACUUCUGUAUUCAGCAUUAGGCAAUUCAUGUAUACUUCAGCAAGAACUAUGCUACAGCAACAGGAUAUCAUGUUUUAAAUAAUAAAGAUGAUAAUGACAGACUUCAAGACUGAAACCCCAUCUGCUUUUUCUCUCAGCAAUAGUAAGAAACAGGAUCCUGGGGCUGAUACCUCCAUGUCUUUUCGAAUGGCUAGAAGGUGCAAGCAUCAAAACAUUCAUAACUAUGAAGUGAUACACAACUUUUCUAUAAAUGGAACAUCUGACUCUUUACUGUCUUCUAGUAGUAAUCCAUAUCAAUUGCAGGGUUAUUUGCAGGACAGCAGUCCCUGUGACCUCAAUCUAUUUCUAUAAAGGGUCACAAAGCUGUCACUUUGCUGCUAAGUUCGACUUUUUCAGCUAGGGGUGCUAGUUGGGAAAUGGACAAUGGCACAGCAAUAUUCAGUCUUCACAGAAAGCUUUUUGUCCAUGAUUUGGUUUCUAUUUUUCCUCUCAUCCAAAAAGAGAGGCUUGCACAGUUAUUUGUGCUUCUGAAAAUCAGUUCCUCUCUCAGGCCCCACUUUGUGCAGACUAACAGUUUAAGUUUCUUCAGAAGAGGGGGGUAGGAACAAGUCACAGUUAAAGACCAGAGAUAUUUACCCUCUCUUCCCUGCCCUGAAGGAACUGAGGUGCUGCCAGCAAUUAGAGAUAGUUGGCAGUUCCCCCAGGAUUACAAUAAGCAGGAACCAGUAAGUGCACUCCGUUCUCAUCUACCUGCCCUAGAAAAGCUCAUUUGCCACUGAACAAUAGCAGGCACUUCACAGUUCCCUUUGAAUUCUUUCUGAUCUCUGAAAAUCAUCCAAAGCACAAAGAGUAACUACUGUUUGAGGUUAAAAUCCUAAUCUAGGAUCAGCGGCAAAAUUUUGCAACUCAUGUAACUCCUCAUAAGUAGUUUCAAAAUCUUUUAGUGAAAACACAAAGUAUGUGUUUGGAUGUUGUAACCAAUACUCAGAAGACAAUGAAAACAAGUUUGAGUGUCUGCUGUUGCAGUUGAUUAGUUACAUAAUUUCCAAACUUCUCUUCCUGCUUUGCAUACUAUUCAAUCAUUUUCAUACUUGUGUGGAAGCAGCACAGCUUUCUGAUUAAGCUUCUGUCUGUAUUCUGGCUGGUUUUGUAGUUUGCUUAAAGACCAUAGAGAAUAUGAUCGAUUUACAGCUGCUUGCAUAUGCUGUCAACGGGUAUACAUUCUCACUAUUACACGUAUGUAAGUUUCCAGUACUUCUUAUAAUAAUGUCAUUAAGUUGCCUCAUCCUGCGCUGCACAGUACAAAGUGUUUUGUUUUGAUUUACACAGGGCUGACUGACAGUCUCUUUAUUUCCUGAUUAUGAAUAAUGGACACGGCAAAACAGAACGAGCACAGGUAACUUAUAAUAAAAUUGUGGAAACUUUACAAAUCCGAGUAGUUUCAUAUGUAAAGCAUGUAUAGGAUUCCAGUCAGCUAUGAAGCUGUGAAAUAGGGUAAACUCAUAAACUCUGGGAUUAUGGGAUUUUAACGUGGCUCAUCACAUCCUAGGUGAGUACUCUCAUCAGAAAUGUGAUUCAUUAAAAAAAAAUAAAUAAUCAGGUGAAAUUAAACAAUCACUUUAAUACGAGAUCACAAACAGCUUUGUAGCAUCUUAAAUCUAUAGGGUAAUCUAGCCCUACAGGAACACUCACCUGUUUUGGUACAGUGGGAAACUGGAACAUGUUGGACUUAUUGUCAGAUUCCAGAUGAUCUCCUGCUUGACUGUCCUUCCUGAGAAUUUAUGUCCUUUUGUGAGAAUGAGUAGGAGAGUUUCUGACUUGCUGUUACAUCAGCAGUGGCCUGCCUCAUCUUCACGGGAGACUGUCCUGCUUCGCUUGUCUGGGGCACGUUGGCCUCCAGCACUUCUCCUGAGCAGAAGUCACUGACUGAGUCACAGCUGGGUGUUGGCUGGCUGAAGGAAAAAAAGAUGCUGAGGAAUGAGGCACCUGGCAAAAGCUUACAAAAAUACCAUAAACAAAAUCUUCUCCAGAUAAUGUUAUAAAAUAAAUAGUUCCCAAAUGCAGCACCUAGGCAUCUCAGCAAUUCUGCACUGCAUUUCACUGGCAGUGAAAUAGUUCACAUUAAUUUUAAUGCAUGAAUUUUAACAUUGGCCUAAAAAAAAAUCCAAUUUUAGGCUGGACGAUUGUGAUUCACAAAAAGUGUGGCAACUUACAAUAGGAUUUGUUUUGUUUAUUAUUUUCUGUUACUACAUUCAGCUUCUUAUCACCAAGUUUCAGAAAAGACUCCCGUCCCAUGCAAACUUGACCUCUAUAAACAGAGGGCUUUCCUGUGCAGUAAGUGAACAAUUUGGCACAAAUAGUAAUAUGCAUGUGGAGAACAUACUCUACUAUGUCUGGUACUCAUCAUCCCAAUUUGUUUCUGUGAGUGCUGCCAUUCACUAAGCAGCUAGAACACAGGCGCAGAGGAUAGAGAUUCUAUGCCACAUUCUGCCUUCUGGAGUCUGAUUCUGCAGUUCAGAUAACCAGCACUACAAAAACGAGAAUAAGACCACAGAUCAAAAAUUAUAUUCAGCUACAAAGUAAGUGAAUUUGGGUUAAUCUACUAUAGAUCUCUUACAGAGAUUUUGGAAGCUUGCUUUUAUUUUGCCUUGUUUCUCAGAAAAACUCAUUAGCCCUAAGUUUGCUGUAUUUAGCUAUCACUUCCCCUUAUGCACUAAACCAUUUAUUCUCCAGAAAAUCCAGAGAAUAUUAAAAAAAAUAAAUGAAUCUAUGACCAUACACCAAAACUAAGAGAACCACCACAAAACUUUGGUGGCACAGCACUGGCAUUUAAGGUUUCCUUGCAGAGAUGACAUAAGAUCUUUUUUAUUCUAUUCUACGUAGUCAACUAUCAGUAUUAUACAUCUAAAAAUAUCUAAGGGACAGAUGAAGCAUGUAAUAGUUCAUCAGAAAUGCUUUUUAUGUCUCUGAAACUAUACGCUGCUGUCACUAAUAGCUGGAGUACCAUAUGUGAAAAUGAGUUACUUGUUAAAUACUUAGUUAACUGGAGUCCUGUGUGACAUCUUCAGCAACAGCUCAGAAUGUUGCUAAGCAAAGAGAAGUAUGGAUGAGUCUUAGUAUGUCUUUGAACACUUGGCUGCAUGGACAUACAGUUAAGCUUUAUUUUAUUGACUAUUUUUAAGGAUCAGAGGUUGGAACUCAACAGCAAUUUCAUUAUUACCCUAUACCGAGAGAAAAUUUACUUGGCAAAGUGUGGUCAAGCCACACGGGUUGCGAACGCAGAAAGCAGAGUCUAGCAAUGCACACAGGAUCACAGCUUUUGAGAGGAGCUGAGCAACACUACAUUCAGUGCAUAAGGGUGCAACACUUCUGGGUUCUUUGGCACCACGAUGCAGAGAAGAAUAAGCUAUCUUGCUAUAUGUUCUUUUAUUUAAAGACUGAAAAAUGGGUGUUCAUAUUCUAAGGAUUUUCUCCCUUUACUGUGUUUUCUUGCUUGAAAUUGCAUUGGCCAAGUUUUCCAAUGAAAGAAAACACAGGAAGUUUAUUAGUAGUUUGAAAAGGGUACACACUGAUUUAAAUCACUAUUGGUUAAGAAACGGUAUGCAAUUGCAGAAGAAAGCUUCUGCCUUAUGACCCGCUAAUAAAGUGGAAUUACAUUGCAAGAAGCCAAAGCCAAAAAGGGUGGCACCUAGCAGAGAGAUUAAGGAUGAAGCUUUAGAAGACACUGUAUCAAGCAACCCUGCAGGCUGAACCCAGCAAAUCAGAGACUGAGCAGUGCUGGGCUAAACAAGCCCCUUAGAAAUGCUGCCUGUUUCACUGGAUUGCCACAGACUUGUAUCAAACUGAACACAACCACAUCCCAGCUGUGCAAUGCCUCUACAUGGUUAUGACUAUGUCCAUUUCGUUGCAGGCAACAGAAAGUUGUUUUCAAAUGAUUACUGCAUACCACAUAUAUUGCAUUCUGUGAUGUAAUAUUUAUGUAUGCUCGAUGUUGUGCAUAAGCAGGACCCUUCGUUACACAAAAACAUUUGACUUUGAAGAAACAGUGGAAACAUACAAAAGGAACAAGCAUGCAGGCCACAACCUUCACUGCACAAUAAUUACUGGAUGGAAGUUUGCUGGUGCUUAUAGAAAGAUUGCAAAAAAAAAAAAAAAAAGCCAACAACCAGUCAGCAAGGAGGCAUGAGGCACAGGAAGCUGUAAUAGUGAAGUGAGACUUGUUUGUGGCUAAGCAUAUGGUUGGCUCUUUAUUUAUGUUUGUCUCUUUAAACAUAAGAACUUGAGAGCCAAGCAAUGCCUAGAAAAGAAGAAUAGAAUUAAAGCCAAAACUACUUUGUGGUCUUUCUUACCUUUUCAGGGAAAAACAAACAAAGAUAGGUACUCAGUAAAUUGACAAGACUGCAUCAAAGAUAUCUGAUACCCAACUGAAACAAGAUUCUAACAUUCAUUAAUAAAAUCUUAAGUAAAUUUACUCACGUGAGCAUUCAGCUUGUUAUUUUAACUGCACAUAAUAAAGCACAGCUUAGGGCAGAGGUAUUUUUACUAUUUAUGUGGAUAAAUUAUCUGCAUGGAUUAAACCCAUGCAUAUAAUCCUACUUUGCAGAUUACAAAAAAGCACUGAUAAUGUUAACCAUUGGCAGCAGUUCUCUUCAAUGAAUCUUGCUCUUGUUUCUGCAUUCACAGUAUUUAGAUAUGUUCAAAAUGGAGCUCUGCCAUAUGUGGUUACAUGACUUGACCAAGAGACAUCACAAUUAUGGCCCUUGGCAGUCUGACUAAAAAAAAAUAUCAGCUCCUGCAGUGAGAUUCCCUAAGAAAUCCAGGAUAAAGCUCUUCUGGCUUUUAAAAGUGUGUAGCACGGUGCUCUUGCAACUUCAGCAUACUUCUUAAAAGCAAAGUAAGAUUUUAUCAGAUUUUAUGAAUGAUAUUUAAAAAAAAAUGAGUGUAAGAAAAAAAGUUGGCUGCUGUUACUGCGUGACACAAGUCAAAAAAGUAACCACAUACAGCUAUUGUAGCAGGUAACAUCCUCAGCAAUAGGCUUGGCCACUUUCACAGUCAGCACAAUGCUUGAGUUGUUUAAGUCUCAAGUCUGUGAUUUUUCCAGAACUGUCCAGGAGAAAAACAGAUAAACCUCUGUACCGAGUCAACCGUGAAGGGAAAGAAGUGACUGAAAGAGAGAUCGGUAGCUGACAAACUUCACAUGCUUCUCUUUUGACACAGCCAGUGCUAACUACAGAUUUGACUGCAACGAAGGUGUGGAACAAAACAUCUGGUUCUUCAGGGAAAAUAGAGGGCAUCUCAGCCAUCUUCUCAUAGAUCACGUAUAUCAGCAUUUGACACAGAAUAGGUGUGGACGUAUAUAACGCAUAUCUCCCUGAUCCCCCUUACUCACCAUUGUGCUGUGCAGAACAGAGGAAGGCCUGCCAUGUGCUCACAGACUUUGGUGCGUCUGGCCAUGACCUGUCUUUCUAGUUUCCGUGCAGCAGCAUACAAACAUUCCUUUCUGUUAUGGAAGUCCUUAGAGUUCCUUUGCUCUUGGGUAAAAUGACUAAGACAAAUCUUAAGUGAAGAAAAUUAGCUUUAUUUAUGUAAAUUAGAAAAAUGAAUUGUUAGAGCUUUGGUCAAACGGUUAAUUCUGUACAAUUUACAAUUAUAUCUAUAUACAAAACUUUUAAUAAAAUACAGUACAGCACA